AUUGAACGCUGGCGGCAUGCCUUACACAUGCAAGUCGAACGGUAACAGGUCUUCGGAUGCUGACGAGUGGCGAACGGGUGAGUAAUACAUCGGAACGUGCCCGAUCGUGGGGGGAUAACGCAGCGAAAGCUGUGCUAAUACCGCAUACGAUCUACGGAUGAAAGCGGGGGAUCGCAAGACCUCGCGCGGAACGGAGCGGCCGAUGGCAGAUUAGGUAGUUGGUGGGAUAAAAGCUUACCAAGCCGACGAUCUGUAGCUGGUCUGAGAGGACGGCCAGCCACACUGGGACUGAGACACGGCCCAGACUCCUACGGGAGGCAGCAGUGGGGAAUUUUUGGACAAUGGGCGCAAGCCUGAUCCAGCCAAUGCCGCGUGCAGGAUGAAGGCCU
Molecule: ribosomal RNA, 389 nt
Filed under: uncultured bacterium
Lineage: Bacteria
Description: bacterial SSU rRNA
Rfam family: Bacterial small subunit ribosomal RNA
Source: RNAcentral